GAUGAAGAACGUAGCGAAAUGCGAUACGUAAUGUGAAUUGCAGAAUUCAGUGAAUCAUCGAAUCUUUGAACGCAUAUUGCGCUCUCUGGUAUUCCGGAGAGCAUGCUUGCUUGAGUAUCAGUAAACACCUCAACUUCCAUAUCUUUUUUGAAAUGGGAGUUGGACUUGAGUGAUCCCAACGCUUUUCCUCACCGAAAAGCGGCGGGUUACUUGAAAUGCAGGUGCAGCUGGACUUUUCUCUGAGCUAUAAGCAUAUCUAUUUAGUCUGCCUAAAAAACAGAUUAUUACCUUUGCUGCAGCUAACAUAAAGGAGAUUAGUUCUUGUGCUGACUGAUGCAGGAUUCACAAAGACAGGCUUCGGCCGACUUUGUAAACUCGAUCUCAAAUCAAGUAAGACUACCCGCUGAACUUAAGCAUAUCAAUAAGCGGAGGA
RNAcentral lists this unclassified non-coding RNA (433 nucleotides) under soil metagenome. RNAcentral describes it as "partial contains 5.8S ribosomal RNA, internal transcribed spacer 2, and large subunit ribosomal RNA". The stretch from base 1 to 120 matches the Rfam family "5.8S ribosomal RNA", at positions 35 to 154 of the family's 154-position model. The record is from RNAcentral.